RNAcentral lists this transfer RNA (68 nucleotides) under Cheironitis hoplosternus. Its description in RNAcentral is "tRNA-Asp". Lineage: Eukaryota; Metazoa; Arthropoda; Insecta; Coleoptera; Scarabaeidae. The record is from RNAcentral.
AAAAAUUUAGUUAAUCCCCAUAACAUUAACUUGUCAAGUUAAAAUAGCUCUUAUGAGAGCAAUUUUUA